RNAcentral lists this long non-coding RNA (4890 nucleotides) under Sus scrofa (pig). RNAcentral describes it as "lncRNA (ENSSSCG00015059180.1)". The record is from RNAcentral. Lineage: Eukaryota; Metazoa; Chordata; Mammalia; Artiodactyla; Suidae.
GGCCUACACCACAGCCACAGCAACGCAGGAUCUGAGCUGCAUGUGCAACCUACAACACAGCUCACGGCAACACAGGAUCCUUAACCCACUGAACGAGUCCAGGGAUCGAACCCGCAACCUCAUGGUUCAUAGUUGGAUUCAUUUCCGAUGUACCAUGAUGGGAACUCCUAUAAAUUACAUUUCUAUGAUGACGCUUUAUUUACUGUAAGUAUUUAUGACCUUGGGUAAUAAGUACAUUAACUAGUGACAUGUUAUGUAGCAUCUAGUAUAAUUAAAAACUAAUCAUGAUCUAUCAUGGCAAAUAUUUCUUCAUGACUGGGACAACAACACUUAGUCAAAACCAUAGUGAACUGACAGUAUUUUCAGUUAUAGUUAUAAUACAAUUUCAAGGUGUUCAAUAUAAUUUUUUUUCCCUAGGGGAAAGAAAAGCAAUUGAUUUUCAAGCCUCAAUUCUACUUGAGGCUUGGUGAAAAAAUCCUUUGGCCAGCACAUCGAAAGGAAUAAAAAAUAAAAAGGAAAAGGCAAAACUCAUGAAUGAGGAUGAACUUAUUCAGGAGGACACAGUUAGCUAUUUUAUUUUCUUUAAGUCAAGUUCUUUAUCAUAGCUAGAGAUUAAUGUAUAACAUCUGAUUACACACUGUAACUAUAGCAGGAUAAGUUUGAGGAGAAGGGCCAGCUGGCAUCUUGCGUUCUUCUUAAAUAAUUUACUGUCCAAUGAUAGACACUUGGUAUAUAUUUAAUAAAUGAGAAAUGGAAUUCAUGUAAGUGGAGGAAUAUAUGUAACUCAUAUAAUUUCUAUGGCAGAGAAAGCCUAAAACCAAUUUCAGAAACCAAUGUAUUAUAAGAAAUAUCCUAAAAUAAGACUAAUGAUGGACAGUUUUGCGAACUUUUAGAUAAAUAUGAAGACAUUAUCCAUUCAGGAAGUAGUUAUAGAGUACCAGUACUAUGCUAAGGCACAGUUCUAGGUGGUUAGAAUAUGAUAGCAAGUGAGAGAUGUAAAGAUGUUUGAACCAUGCUUUAAACGGUUCUGCCUACAAAACAGGAUAUUACUAUGCAAAUUUAGUUUAAAGGCCAAUAAUUAGGGGCCUUCACCUGCUGUAAUCAAGAAUCAUUGUCUUGGGUGGUCAGUCUCCAUUGUUUUAGAGAAUCAACUUGUUAGUGGUGGCUGCAAUAAUGGUUUCAGAUAUCAAUAUGUUGAAAAACUAGUGGCUUUGCAGUUGGUGUUCUGGACUUCAGAAGUGGAUUUAUUUUAGUGAAAAGAGAGGCUCUUGGCUAUUAUGAUGACUACUAAAUUUGGGCAUUGGUGGAGAACCUAAAAAUAUUCAAUAAAUAUCCAUUGGUUAAAAUGUUUUAGAAUCACUCCCUUCUUUGGCACAAUAGAGCAAAAAAAAAUCUAGCAAAUCGUGUAUCUUGUAUCCUACAGUCAGCCUCAAGUAGGGUGAUGGUUUGCUUCCUGGAGAUGACCAUAAAAGUAUGACAGAGCAUUGUUUUAUCUGCUCUUUGUGCAAAGUGUGGUUGGAAUCCCUAAAAGACAGAGAGCUGGGAGAAGAAAAUGAAGGUUGAGGAGGAGGACCAGGCUACCUCAGACCUCUUUGCCAACUUCUAUAAUAUAUAAAUAUCAAAAUAAAAGAAUAAAAACUUAACCAUUGUCCAUGAUCACACCAACUGAGGUUGGAAGACAACAAAAAUAUUCUACCCUAUGGAGCUUAUAUUCUGGUAAGAGAAAUUAACAAUACACAAAUAAAUAUACCAAAACAGAGCAAGACCCAGUGAGACUUUCCCAGGGCAGACCUCCUUCCCCCAGUGUUCUCAGCCUACCUUUUGUCUGUAGAGAAACUUUACUCAAAGGGCAAAUUUAAUCGGAGAAGUGAGGAAAUACAGAAACAAAAGGAAUUCAGUCAAACAGGAUAAAAGAAUAAUAGUCAUUAAGCAAAAUCAAGGACCUUUAGCUCAUCAUCAAGGGCUAUGGAUAAUAUUCUGAUCUAUAUCCUUUGGGCUGUUUUGUUGAUACUGAAACCUCCACCAAGUGGAAGAAGUUAACUAUGUGGUGACCAAACUGUAGCCAUGACAUAUGCUGCCACAAUUCUGAGAACUGGCCUCAAAGAAAUGGGAACAAACAGACUCCUGGAACUGAAGAUUAACUGUACUUAUAAUCAAGAUGACACUAAUCUGACCACCACAUGAAUAAUUCAAGAUGAUUGUCAGAGUCGACUGUGCUAUUCUGCAGGUAGCCUCUCCCUCUCUAUACAGCUCUGAAACUCCUUUUAAAAGCUCUUGCCCCCUGACUCAUAGAGGGCACUGGCCUUUGGACAUGAGUCUGCCUUCUUCGCAGGUUGCCAGCGUCCUGAAUAAAGCAACUUUUCCUUUCUUCCAACACUUGUCUCUUGAGUUUGGCUUUCGAUCAGCAAACAGCCAGUCCUGAGUUUGCUAACAAUAGUAAAUAUUAAGCUACUUUAUUGAUUAUUCACAUGCCUUUGAGUAUAUGAUAGUUAAGCCAAGAUCUGACUGCAAUGGAUUAAAAUGAAGAUUGAAAAAAAAAUCACCUCAGACAGAUUUUUUUCAGCUCUCAUCAGGAUUUGGAGCUCUUCUUCUUAACAUGUACAUAAAGAAGAUGGUUGGAACUAAGUGUCUGCUAACCAUAUAGAAUCAGUGGGCAGGAGAAAAUAAUUCUUGAUUCUAAAGAAUGGUUUGAAUAUCUAGAUACAUCACGUGGGGAGAGACAGUGCCUAUUUUGUCCUUUAUGAUAAAUAAACUGAGAAUCAAAUACAAAAUAGCUCACAUCUUUUUCAACUCUAAAAUUUAAGUAAUUUUAAUUUUUUUGACUUUAUUUUAUUUUUGGGGGUAUUUAUUUAUUUAUUACUCAAUGAACAUAUCAUAUCUGUAGUUGUAUAAUGAUGCAUCACAAUCCAAUUUCACAGGAUUUUCAUCCCACAACCCAAGCACAUUCCCCACCCCUCCAAACUGUCUCCUCCAGAGACCAUACGUUUUUCAAAGUCUGUGAGUCAGCAUCUGUUGUGCAAAGAAGUUCACUCUGUCCUUUUUUCAGAUUCCCCAUGUCAGUGAAAGCAUUUGAUGUUGGUGGCUAAUUGUAUGGCUGCCUUCACUUAGCAUGAUAAUUUCUAGGUCCAUCCAUGUAGGCUUUGAUAUAAAUGAAAUUUAAGGCAUGUGUUUUUUAAUAAGAGCUUCGUUGUGAUAUAAUUCACAUAACUUACAAUUCAUGCAUUUAUAGUUGUACAACUAAAUCAUUUUUAGUUCAAUCAUCACCACAAUUUUUAUCUAUGGCCCAAAGAAACCUUGUACCUAUUAAUAGGCUCUUGCUACUUUCCCCCAGACUGUGCCCCUUCCAGUCUGAGGCAAUGUUAAUUAAGUUUUUAUCUCUUUGGAUUUGCAUACUCUGAAUAUACGAGAGAUGGAAUCACACCUAUGUGAUGUUUGUGACUAGUUUCUUAUACUUAGCAUAAUGCUUUCAAGGUUCACUCAGGUUAUAGCAUUUUAUAACCUGAUUUUUUUCACUCAUUGCCGUAUAACGCUCACUGUGGAGAUAUACCACAUUUAUUUAUCCAUUCAUCAGCUGAUAUACAGUUUACAUGUUUUCAUACUUGCCUGCUAUAAAUCAAAUGCUGUCAUGAGCAUUUAUGUUCAUGUUUUUGUGUGGACUUAUGUUUUAUUUUUUUCCUGGGCAUGUAUCUAGGAGUGGAAUUACUGGGUUGUAUGCUAACUCUAUGUUUAUCCUUCUGAAGGACUACAGGCUAUAAGUUGAUGUAGCAUUUUACAUUCUAUAUGUUGUGUAUGAGUAGUGUUUUCCACAGGGUAAACAUUUAAGGGAAAGCUUUUCAAAUUCAAAAGGUAAUCUUAGGGAUAGAAUAGCAGUUCAUAACUUGGCAAGUUUGUACUUGGUAACCUCAAACCCUCAUGAUAUUGUGACACUCUGAAUGGUUUUUAUUGUGAAACUCUUAUUUUAUUGUGACACUCUGAGCAGUUUUAUCACCUAUUGUAACCACUAAGUAGCAUGCUUUUAUUUUGCCUCUCAUUCUUUUAGGCUCUUAUUUCAUUAUCUGCUACUUACUGGAAGUUGUGAGCAUUUCUCAGGUGUAGCAAGCUGAACAAUGAAUCCGAAAGAUAACUAAAUAUUAAUCCCUAGGAACUUUGUAAUAUUGUGGAGCAGAAUGGACUUCGCAGAUGUGAUUAAAUUACGAUUUUGAGAUGGAGAAAUUAUCCUAGGUUGUCCCAAGUGAGUUCUAAAUGAAACCCCAAAUUGGGAGGCAAAGGGAGAUUUGAGACAGAAGAAAGCAACAUCACAUUUCUUUUGGUGUUGCCUGGACCCCAUAAACCAGGGGCAAAAAUCCCCUAUUAGGUGGCCCCUUUACCCAACCCAUUUAAGAAGCCUGGUGAUAAAGAGGCUUUUGCAAUUCUGAAAGCUUUCCUGGGAGCAUCAUCCUCAGGCCUGCCACUUGUGUGCAAAUUUGUUUCUACUUUUGGGAAAGAAGCCUUGCCAUGACAACUCCCAGGCAAAUAAGUAAUGGAGCUCAGUUUAUGAAAUCUAGGCUCCAAAUUCAGGUUAGGUACUGGGUAGAGGUGAAGCACUCUGCACGAGCAUACCAGAAUCAAAGCAGGGAAAGAACAGACGAAAUAAUAUCCUGAAUUUUAUGGACGAAUUUUCCUCAGAAAUAUGCAGACCAGUUCAUAUAAUUUGAUUCCCUCAAACACCAUUUGGAUAAUUUUUCUUAAGUACAACAUUCUAGUGCCCCAUCCUACAGGGGCUUUGAUGCACUGUCACAUUUAAUCUUGUCCAAAAUACCCUGGGAUAGAUAGUUCUUACCUCCACUUUGCGUCUGAAGAAACCAAGGUUAAGAUAAAUUGGCCAACUCUAGAAAGAAGAAGACACAGAUA